CAGAUCUCUUGGCAGGUGGGAAGAUGAAGAGGAUGAGGAAGGACACCAAGAGGACCAGGAGGGGCUGAUAUGUCAGCCCAGGUCACUGGGACCUGGGAGACUGCAGCGCCCAGGACAGGGGGCCCAUCUUUCCCCAAGAGUGGAGCAUCCUGGCACCCUGACACCUGGCGGUCCUGAAGGCAACAGCAACUUGAACAACCCUCACCCAACUCUGGUGACCCGGGGCGUCCCCUGCUCCCUGCAUGACCACAAAGCAACAGAGAACCCUGCAGAACAUGGGAAAGUAAAGCUGAAACCUGCUUAC
This is a long non-coding RNA of Ochotona princeps (American pika), 304 nucleotides long. RefSeq lists it as uncharacterized. The transcript is spliced from 3 exons. Lineage: Eukaryota; Metazoa; Chordata; Mammalia; Lagomorpha; Ochotonidae. The record is from RefSeq and is a predicted model, not a curated record.